GAUGAACGCUAGCUACAGGCUUAACACAUGCAAGUCGAGGGGAAACGACAUCGAAAGCUUGCUUUUGAUUGGCGUCGACCGGCGCACGGGUGAGUAACGCGUAUCCAACCUGCCCACCACUUGGGGAUAACCUUGCGAAAGUAAGACUAAUACCCAAUGAUAUCCCUAGAAGACAUCUGAAAGAGAUUAAAGAUUUAUCGGUUAUGGAAGGGGAUGCGUCUGAUUAGCUUGUUUGCGGGGUAACGGCCCACCAAGGCUACGAUCAGUAGGGGUUCUGAGAGGAAGGUCCCCCACAUUGGAACUGAGACGCGGUCCAAACUCCUACGGGAGGCAGCAGUGAGGAAUAUUGGUCAAUGGGCGAGAGCCUGAACCAGCCAAGUAGCGUGCAGGAUGACGGCCCUAUGGGUUGUAAACUGCUUUUAUAAGGGAAUAAAGUGAGCCUCGUGAGGCUUUUUGCAUGUACCUUAUGAAUAAGGACCGGCUAAUUCCGUGCCAGCAGCCGCAGUAA
This 508-nucleotide ribosomal RNA is filed under the name uncultured bacterium. Its description in RNAcentral is "partial 16S ribosomal RNA". It matches the Rfam family "Bacterial small subunit ribosomal RNA", at positions 28 to 523 of the family's 1533-position model. The record is from RNAcentral.